GACGAACGCUGGCGGCGCGCUUAACACAUGCAAGUCGAACGGAAAGGCCUGCUUUCCCUUGUGGAUUGCGGGUACUCGAGUGGCGAACGGGUGAGUAACACGUGAGUGAUCUGCCCCCAACUUGGGUAUAAGCCUGGGAAACUGGGUCUAAUUCCCGAUAGGACUGCAGGGUGGUGCCUGUGGUGGAAAACGAUUUUCUAGUGGUUGGGGAUGAGCUCGCGGCCUAUCAGCUUGUUGGUGGGGUAAUGGCCUACCAAGGCGGCGACGGGUAGCCGGCCUGGGAGGGGGGACGGUGACAUUGGGACUGGGAUACGGCCCAGACUCCUACGGGAAGCAGCAGUGGGGAAUAUUGGACAAUGGGCGGAAGCCUGAUGCAGCGACGCAGCGUGGGGGAUGACGGCCUUCGGGUUGUAAGCUCCUUUCGACCGCGAGGAAGCCACCUGGUUGGAAGGGUGGUGACGGUAGUGGUAGAAGAAGCACCGGCUAACUACGUG
Molecule: ribosomal RNA, 494 nt
Filed under: uncultured bacterium
Lineage: Bacteria
Description: partial 16S ribosomal RNA
Rfam family: Bacterial small subunit ribosomal RNA
Source: RNAcentral